RNAcentral lists this long non-coding RNA (1768 nucleotides) under Equus caballus (horse). Its description in RNAcentral is "lncRNA (ENSECAG00000056841.1)". Lineage: Eukaryota; Metazoa; Chordata; Mammalia; Perissodactyla; Equidae. The record is from RNAcentral.
GCCAGCAUUUGCUGAGCCAGCACCGUGCGGCUGGCCGAGCCCUCGAUGAUUCUCCACGAUUUCCUCGCUGAUUCUCUUCGCCUCCCUGUAGGCACGGGCAUCAUCUCCAUCUUACAGGUGGCUCUGGGAUGUGGCACAGAGAAGCCGAGGUGCCUCCUGGGGCGGUUGUUUAUCGAGCCCUCAUGAUGUGCCAGGCACCGCCUGGACGCCACAGCAAACUCUCUGCCCUCAAGGGGCCCACAUUCCCAGAUGAGACAGGAGCCGGGCAUUAACCCAACCGAGACGGCAUGGAAGUUUCCCAACUUGGUGCUGCGACAUCAUCUGGAGUCGGCAGGAUGCAGAAUUAGGGUCUGGGAACCACAGCCAAAGGGGAAGAUGCGGGUGAGCAGACCUGGCUCUCUGUGCCAGGAUGGACAAGGGGAACCAGCCAGAGCACUGGCCUCACCGUGGCCACCAACCGCGGUCACCGAUUCUGCACAGUACCGGAACUUGAUUGGUCCAGCAAGUAUCGGCCGUGCACCUGUUGGGCGCCAAGCUGGUCGCCAGGGCCCCGGGAGGGAACAGCCUGCCUGCGCGGCCUCCCUGCCUGGCCUUGCUCUCUCCCAUGGCCUCCCAUCACCCUGGCUGCCUUCUGGAGCUGUAGAUGCUGUGUCCUGCAGGCCUGCCGUCUUCUGGAUCUUUUCCUUCCUGUCACCUGCCCUUCAGAGCUGACCCUAUUUCCUCCGCUUCUGGGAAUCCUUCUGUCUCCUUCUGCUCAGGAGAGUCUCCUUCCUCUGGGUACCAAUAGGCUUGAGUUUCUGGACUACCACAUCCAAAACUAAGCUCCCCCCCCCCAAACCUGCUCCUCCUCUUGGGUCUCGUCUCAGUGGGGCCCCUCCAGCCAAGCAGCCCCUUGAGCCAGACCUGGCCUCCUCCCUUGCCUCCUCUCUCAGCUCAUCCCCCAUCAACAGUCCAUCCAUCACCAAGUCCUGCCGGUUCUGCCUCCUCAGCAUCUCUCAGACCUGUCCACUCCCCUCCGUCCCCACUGCCACCGAGCUGAUCCAGGCCACCCUCAUCUCAGCUCCUGGCUGGUCUCUCAGCCCCUAACCUGCCCUCUAUUCUCCCCUUGGCAGCGGGGCGUCCUUCCACUGUGCACUCGCUCCAGGUGGCAGAAGUCCCCAUGGCUCCCGGCUGCCUCGGGUGCAGGGGAAGUCAGCUGUCAGUCUAACCGGGGUUCCCCUGAAAGUGAAUCUGGGAUAUUCUCCCUCCUUUGGUUUCUGCAGAUGGAUUGAGGCAUGGAUUCUUUGUAUUUAUUUUUCUGGGGACGCUGGGUAUCCUGAAUCUAUGAUUUGGUAUCUUUUAUCAGUUCUGGAAAAUUAUCAGCCACCAUCUCUUAAACAUGGUGUCUACCUGUUUUUCUCUCUUCUAGGGCUCUAAUUAAACUUGCUCUUUUCUACCCUCUCCUUUUCCCCAUCUUUGUGUCUCUCUGCAAUGCAUUCUGGAUAUUUUCUUUUGACUUAUUUUCUUUUGACCUAAUUCUUUCUUUGGCUGUAUUUACUCCAUUCUUAGACUCAUCCAUCGAGUGUUUUUAACGCUUUAUUAUUUUGGAAUGUAACACACAUGCAUGAAAUGCAUAAAUUGUAAAUAUACAGCUUUGCAGAAGAGUGAAAAACAAAUGUACAGUUUAAUAAAUGAUUAGAAACCAAACAUGUAUGGGACUAUUACUGACAGGUCAAGAAGUAAAGUCUCUGAGUUUUUUCUUUUAAAGAUUGACACCUGAGCUAACAUC